This 518-nucleotide ribosomal RNA is filed under the name uncultured bacterium. Its description in RNAcentral is "bacterial SSU rRNA". It matches the Rfam family "Bacterial small subunit ribosomal RNA", at positions 992 to 1509 of the family's 1533-position model. The record is from RNAcentral.
AGAACUUAGCAGAGAUGCUUUGGUGCCUUCGGGAACUCUGAGACAGGUGCUGCAUGGCUGUCGUCAGCUCGUGUUGUGAAAUGUUGGGUUAAGUCCCGCAACGAGCGCAACCCUUAUCCUUUGUUGCCAGCGGUCCGGCCGGGGAACUCAAAGGAGACUGCCAGUGAUAAACUGGAGGAAGGUGGGGAUGACGUCAAGUCAUCAUGGCCCUUACGAGUAGGGCUACACACGUGCUACAAUGGCGCAUACAAAGAGAAGCGACCUCGCGAGAGCAAGCGGACCUCAUAAAGUGCGUCGUAGUCCGGAUUGGAGUCUGCAACUCGACUCCAUGAAGUCGGAAUCGCUAGUAAUCGUAGAUCAGAAUGCUACGGUGAAUACGUUCCCGGGCCUUGUACACACCGCCCGUCACACCAUGGGAGUGGGUUGCAAAAGAAGUAGGUAGCUUAACCUUCGGGAGGGCGCUUACCACUUUGUGAUUCAUGACUGGGGUGAAGUCGUAACAAGGUAAGCGUAGCGAG